CCUACGUGUGGCAGCAGUGAGGAAUAUUGGUCAAUGGGCGGAAGCCUGAACCAGCCAAGUAGCGUGCGGGAUGAAGGCCCUACGGGUCGUAAACCGCUUUUGCACGGGGAUAACGCCCUCCACGUGUGGAGUUCUGCAGGUACCGUGCGAAUAAGGGCCGGCUAAUUCCGUGCCAGCAGCCGCGGUAAUACGGAAGGCCCGAGGGGUAUCCGGGUUCAUUGGGUUUAAAGGGGGCGUAGGCGGGCGUUCAAGGCAGCUGUAAAAUCGCGCGGCUCAACCGCGCCCCGCAGUUGAAACUGGAGGCCUUGAGUGCACAACAGGCAGGCGGAAGUCGUGGUGUAGCGGUGAAAUGCAUAGAUAUCACGAGGAACCCCGAUUGCGAAGGCAGCCUGCCGGGGUGCGACUGACGCUGAGGCUCGAAGGUGCGGGUAUCAAACAGGAUUAGAUACCCGGGUAGUC
RNAcentral lists this ribosomal RNA (459 nucleotides) under uncultured bacterium. RNAcentral's name for it is "partial 16S ribosomal RNA". It matches the Rfam family "Bacterial small subunit ribosomal RNA", at positions 338 to 795 of the family's 1533-position model. The record is from RNAcentral.